RNAcentral lists this long non-coding RNA (248 nucleotides) under Trifolium pratense (red clover). RNAcentral's name for it is "long non-coding RNA (TPRA_LNC012286)". The record is from RNAcentral. Lineage: Eukaryota; Viridiplantae; Streptophyta; Magnoliopsida; Fabales; Fabaceae.
ACAGAUGUUUGAAGUUGUUCAAGUGACACAUGGGCAUCAGUUGACAUGGAUGCAAGGUGUGUGAUGAUAGCGUGCGGGCAUUGGUUGGCAUUGAUGCAAGGUAUGCGGUUAUCUCGAUGGCUGAUGAACUUCCGGAGAAAGCCAACAUGGAAGUUGCACCAUAAAUUUUCAGCGAGGUUUCGAGAUGAAAUUCUUGGGAUGACUUGGUUCCAAGUGAAGAAAAAUCUUGGGAUGGUUUAGUUCCAAGU